CCAUUUCUUUUCCCAAUUAGAUGUUCGACGAAGUUCAAUAUUCAUUUUUUCUAUGACCCUCUCAUACUUAUAUUUUCCUGUUACAGGGGUUGACGAGACGACAUGGAUAACAUCAUCUGCAAACUGCGUUAUAAUUGUAUCAUUGAACUCCGGUUAAGGAAGAUCAUUCACAUAAAUAUUGAAUAGAAUUGGACUAAGACAAGAACCUUGUGGGACACCAGCUGUGGUAUAAAAGGCUCUGUCGACCUGCCGUGAAAGCCUGACACCUCAGUUCCCUGGUGCAGAGAAUGGUAUGCAUGAUGCUGCCAAUUUUUUAAUGAAAUUCUCAAAAUGGUAGUCAUGAACAUCGAUUAAAAAAGUAAAAUCCAUCUUCUUUUACGAUAUGCCAUUGCUGAAAUUUUGCCACUGAUAAAAAGAGGUAUUCUAAAUUUAUCACAGAAACUAAUAUCACAUACUAUUCAAAGUUGAAGCCAGUUGAAGCUAACAAAUUAGUGCCCUCACAUUUUUAGUAACAAUCCAAACUUUCUUCUAAGAUAUGAAGGCAAUGAUGGUUUGCAACUAACCAUAAGAGGCCAACACCUUAGUUUGAUCGAUAAAAUUGGCAGAUUACAGCUACAUAGCCCAAAUCCAACACAAAUCUUCCUCUGUUUGAUAAAGCAGUUUAAAAUUUUAAGGCAAUCAGAAAGGGUCUUCUCAUAUUGCCUGGAGCACUAUCACAACUUAUUUAAUAUAACUGUCACUUAUACAGCCUGUAACAAUCCAAAUCUUCCUGUAAGAAAGAGAUACAGCAUUGCAAUUCAGUGCUGGUCAGCACCAUGCCAAACAUUGUUUACAAUUAGAUACACCAGUAUUUUUAACUUUAAAGCUGAUCAGAUGAGAUGCUUUAAAGUUAUUGCACAGAAACUACGAGGGCAAAAAAUACCUGAUACAGGAGUCCCUUUUGAGGGAUACCAGUAAUAGUAAUGUGUAAUAUGGAAUUUUGAAAAAAAAGUUAUACUUGUGUAUGAUUUUGUUCAUAUUAAAAAACUUUUGAAUUUAUUUUAUUUUAUUCAUAUAUGCAUACUGAAUAUGGAAAUAAGCAAGUGAAAAAUGGGUAUGAUGAAAAGCAAUGCUGUCAUUUUAGAAAAUAACAUUUAUUUCAUCAAAAUAAUCUACACAAUGAUAUUCACCCAACUAGCCAUGGUAUUGAGUGGCUGAGGCUGCACAUGCGGGAACCUGAAUCAAUGAUCUCAGCGAGGCUAACAUUAUAUACAUCAUUCACAAACAAAUCUGCCCAAGAAAUCACUCGAGGAAAUACUCAUAAAAAUAAAUUAUUAAACAUAUGACUGAUUUACAGCACAAGACAAAUUCACAGUGCCACAAGGACACAAAUUAUUAUUAUAGUAUUAUACAAUGCAAAGGUGAUUUAAGUUGUAAGAAUUAGCGAAGGUGUAAAAUUGCCAUCAUAGUUGAUGCAACAGAUCUGCUUUUGUUAAAAUUCAUAGAGGCAGUCUGCACUGAAGGUAGGACUUUCAUUAACAUCAGUCAGAGUGUGUCAAGAUGGAAAUAAAUGGUAUAAAAUACCGACACAAUGGAAAUAUAAACACACAUGCAGUAUAAUGUGUUCCUUUAUUGACAACGUUUUGCCCACACAGUGGGCUUUUUCAAGCCACAAACAGAUCUGUUUGUGACUUGAAAAAGCCCACUGUGUGGGCGAAACGUUGUCAAUAAAGGAUCACAUUAUACUGCAUAUGUGUUUAUAUUUCCAAGUGUGUCAAGGCAAUGAUGUGUCAAAUGUGAGUUCUGCAUUUUUGCUCUGAUAUAUCAAGACAGUCUAUUUAUAUAUGGUAAAUUAUUAGUUACAUGACAGUCCUUGCAGAGUCAUUGAGCAUCUUUCCAUAUUCUGCGAGUGUGAAUCACGUGUAGCUGAUUCGUAAAUGUGUGAAUGCAGUUUUCCACAUCCAUCACCCCAAUGCUGUUGUUAAAAGUUUUGGAAUCUCUGGGAAAUACUGCAUGUACUGGAAAUUUAUACAAAAAAGGGAUUUUCCUGUGUGAGAGUAGCAGAAAACGAAUAGCAAACUGAGUGGUUUGGUGUGCAUGUUCAUUGCUAUGAACAUCAAUGUGUCCAGGGACCCAGCAAUAAAAAGAUUAUUUUUGCCUGCAAGAAAUUUAACAUAACCAUUAUUGUGUACUAAGUAUGAUGGGGUGUGGGGAGUCACAUCUCUGGAUAGCUUAUAAUGUACUUUUGGAGUCUGAAACAACAAUGAAUGAGGAAACAUAUAUGACUGCAUAGGAGUUUCCUGUGAAAAUACUGGCUAACUCAAGUAAAUCUCCAUACCCAAUUCCAUUUGAAGAUUUGGAACAAUCUGUGUACACUACCAUAACAUGAGAACAAGACCGAAAGUGUUUAAGAAAGAGCACAGAUUUGUAGCAGGUAUGUUGGUCAUCAAGCACUGAAGGGGUUGUAAAGAUAAAUCACUGGAAGUUUCCAAGUAGGAAUGGAAGAGUAUGAUAUGGGGUAAACAUAAAGGAGAAAAAAAUUGAGAGCUAUUACUGGAGUUUGAAUGCAGAUAUUAAAGGACCAUAAUAAAUAGAGCUUAUGAUUAAAUAAGUUAAUCUUACUAACACUUGUAAUUAUUUUGCAUGUACGAGGAUCAUGAAUGUUAUGGAAGUAAAAAAAAAAAUAACAAAUGUAAUGGGUAUUCCUGUGAUCCUACAGAGAAAAGAUGGUUUACAUUUGUAUACAAACUCUUGAGUAGAGAUCAGAAGGCUGCUUGACAAAUUUUAUCCUUGAUGAGGAACCUUGCCAAGUUUAAGAAUUCCAAGAGAGCCCGAGGAAUGCAUUUUAUCCCUGUAAUUUAGCUCAGACAGUAUUAGAACUGCAAGAAUUCUGAGAAAGUUUGCUAAUCAACUCUCCAAUAAAAAUUAGCUAAAGUUUUCAGUAGGUUCUGCUGAGUAAGACAGUUGGUUUUUAACAAGAUGCAGAUACACUACUAUAACAUUCAACAAACAAAGAGGUCUAGAAAUUUAACCAUAACACAUACUGGGAAAAGGGAGCCAUGCAGAUACAUAACAUAGGCUGUGGAUAAGGUGUCUGGUGAAGGUUAUCAAAUCUGUUUUGGCAACAGAAAACAAACCACAUAAUCUAUAUUAAGCUGGAGAGUGGUUUGUACAGGUCAACACUCUAGGCCUGUAUAUGCAAUAGCAAAAUUAUCUACACAUAAGAAUGACCAGAUACCUACGGAACUGAGGUAAGCCCAUUAAUAGCUCUCAUUUAUAAGGUACAUGUACCAAGGAUGCAGUUUUGAGGUAACCUCCACCUUCGAGUGAAAAACAGGGGUGCCAUGGGCAUAAUAAGAGAAUAUUGUCAACAUCUGUAGUUCAAGACUUUUAAACCUGCUAACUGCAGAUAUCAGAAAUAUUAUUAGAAUGAGUAUAGAAGUUUUCAAGAGAAAACUGAAUCAUUAUUUCUGCCAAGUGCCAGAUCAAUCAGGCUACAAUAAAUAGGGAGCCAAUUAACUGGCCACCAACAAUAAAAGCCUGGUUACUAGGCAAUAACAGAAAAGCCUGUCCCCAGGCUGGAA
Molecule: non-coding RNA, 3563 nt
Organism: Cherax quadricarinatus
Lineage: Eukaryota; Metazoa; Arthropoda; Malacostraca; Decapoda; Parastacidae
Source: RefSeq, a predicted model, not a curated record